AUGGGGACAGCCCUGUUUAAUCUUUUAAUCAAGAUUAAAAGAGCAAAUAAAGUUUAUGACACUGGAGAGCCUAUCCAGAUUAUCAACAGCACCAUAGAAAUGGUGAAGCCAGGGAAAUCUCUCAGUGGCAAAACAAAUCCCUUUUGAGUUUCCUUUGCACAUGAAGGGUAACAAAGUUCUGUAUGAGACUUAUCAUGGCACGUUUGUCAACAUUCAGUACACACUGUGCUGUGACUCGAGGCAAUCUCUGUUGGCCAAGGACUUGACAAAGACCUGCGAAUUUAUCAUCCACUCUGUUCCUCAGAAGGGGAAGUUGACUCCCAGUCCUGUGACCUUCACGAGUACACCUGAAACCUUACAGAACGUCAAAGAGAGAGCUUUGCUUCCUAAAUUUCUCAUUCGAGGACAACUCAACUCAACAAACUGUGUCAUCAUGCAGCCGCUAAGGGGAGAGCUGGUGGCGGAGAGCCCAGAGGCACCAUCAGAAGCGUGGAGCUGCGGCUGAUGCACGUGGAGACAUGCAGGUGUGCAGAAGGCCAAGUCCGCGAGGCCACGGGGAUUCAGAACAUUCAGAUCACCGACAGUGACGUGUGCAGGGGCCUCUCUGUCCUCAUCUACAUGGUCUUCCCCAAGUUGUUCACCUGCCCUACGCUGGAGACCACCCACUUCCACGUGGAAUUUGAGGAUAACAUCGUGGUGCUUCUCCACCCUGACCACCUCAUCACGGAGAACUUCCCGCUGAACCUCUGCAUGAUACAGCCCAGAGGAGGGAGGCACAGAAAACCAGAGUGGCCAUCUGAAAAUCCGGCUGGUUAUUCAAAUCCUAAGGGGAGCUACAACCAGUGGCAUUUACUUGUUUUUGUGAUUAUUCGGUAUCAAAUAUGCAACGGACCCUCAAAUUAACUCUCCUUCCUCAUUUCUUCGAGGCUUCCGACAGGCGCCUCUACUCAGACCUUUUCUUUGAAAUUCAACACGUUUUCUUAAUGCUAUUUGCAAGAAAAUUUCACAGAAAACACUGACUGUGGCUCCUGCCUUCCCUGUUCCUUUUUAGAUACAGGAAACAAUUGUGACCGCCAUUUGAGCUUUUUUGGAAAGUGGGAUCAUGGGGACAAAAGGGAACCUCUCUCUGAGUUGCUAAUAAAUGUAGCGAGGGACUCCCCACAGCAAAGGGUCUGUGACCAGUUGACAUCCAGGACAGCUGCAAGCAUACUCCAUGGUUAGGAAGCUUGUAGAUAGUCUCCAAGGCAGAGCAUAAAGGGCCAGUCACUGGAAAUGGGUGACUUCCCUCCACCCCCACUCUGUUCUGUAGUUCUUU
This is a non-coding RNA of Saimiri boliviensis boliviensis (Bolivian squirrel monkey), 1315 nucleotides long. The record is from RefSeq and is a predicted model, not a curated record. NCBI's taxonomy places the organism in Eukaryota, Metazoa, Chordata, Mammalia, Primates, Cebidae.